Long non-coding RNA from Labrus mixtus (cuckoo wrasse), 481 nucleotides. RefSeq lists it as uncharacterized. The record is from RefSeq and is a predicted model, not a curated record. Lineage: Eukaryota; Metazoa; Chordata; Actinopteri; Labriformes; Labridae. The transcript is spliced from 2 exons.
AUUUGAAUUGUAGAGCCAUGCAGCAUGCUUCAGGACGGAACAUGUCUUCUGAAGAAGUCAGAGACACUUUAGGUGAAGAGUGCUCAUGCUGCCUUGUUACUCGAGGUGAACAUGUGAUUCAUCAAACAUCAGAAGACUACACACAGCUGGCUUAGGAAAGACUAUCCUAAAUGCUAACAUGCAGACAGUAGCAGUAAUGCUCACUAGAAUAAUUUACUGUAUGAAAUAAUCUGUAUUUUAGGCUGUAGUGCAGAAGACAAAAAGAGAAACAACACAACCGUCUGUCAUAUAUCAUCUAGUGUACUUUUAUUAAGGAAAUAAUGAUAUAAAAUAGAUAAUAAUAGCACAUAACAGAAGUCCAAACAUACUAGGUUUCAUUUUGUGGAAAAUGUGCAGACGAGUCACAUCCCGCAUAACAAUUUUCCUGCUUUCUUGAAAUCUUUCAUGCGCUAGAACAACGAAGCAAUCAGACAAAAAGAAA